RNAcentral lists this unclassified non-coding RNA (204 nucleotides) under uncultured fungus. Its description in RNAcentral is "partial contains 5.8S ribosomal RNA, internal transcribed spacer 2, and large subunit ribosomal RNA". The record is from RNAcentral. Lineage: Eukaryota; Fungi.
AAGGAUCAUUAGUGAAUUGAAUAUGUUAGCGGACCUCUUCGGAGUCCCUAGCAUCAAAUCAUAUCCAUAACACCUGUGAACUGUAAGGCUGUCUUGAAAACGAAAGUGAUUAGAGCGCCUGCCCAUUUUAUACAAACAUUAAAGUAACAAACGUAGUCUUAUUAUAAUCUAAUAAAACUUUCAACAACGGAUCUCUUGGCUCUC